AGGACGAACGCUGGCGGCGUGCUUAACACAUGCAAGUCGAGCGGUGAUCCUCCUUCGGGAGGUGAUCAGCGGCGAACGGGUGAGUAACACGUGGGCAACCUGCCCCUCACACUGGGAUAACCUCGGGAAACCGGGGCUAAUACCGGAUACGACCUCGAGCGGCAUCUCUUGAGGUGGAAAGCUCCGACGGUAAGGGAUGGGCCCGCGGCCUAUCAGCUUGUUGGUGGGGUAAUGGCCUACCAAGGCGACGACGGGUA
This 257-nucleotide ribosomal RNA is filed under the name uncultured bacterium. Its description in RNAcentral is "partial small subunit ribosomal RNA". It matches the Rfam family "Bacterial small subunit ribosomal RNA", at positions 26 to 285 of the family's 1533-position model. The record is from RNAcentral.